AAAUUGAAGAGUUUGAUCAUGGCUCAGAUUGAACGCUGGCGGCAGGCCUAACACAUGCAAGUCGAACGGUAACAGGAAGCAGCUUGCUACUUCGCUGACGAGUGGCGGACGGGUGAGUAAUGUCUGGGAAACUGCCUGAUGGAGGGGGAUAACUACUGGAAACGGUAGCUAAUACCGCAUAACGUCGCAAGACCAAAGAGGGGGACCUUCGGGCCUCUUGCCAUCGGAUGUGCCCAGAUGGGAUUAGCUUGUUGGUGGGGUAACGGCUCACC
RNAcentral lists this ribosomal RNA (272 nucleotides) under Escherichia coli. Its description in RNAcentral is "partial 16S ribosomal RNA". It matches the Rfam family "Bacterial small subunit ribosomal RNA", at positions 1 to 269 of the family's 1533-position model. The record is from RNAcentral. RNAcentral also lists the same sequence under 1 other name. Lineage: Bacteria; Pseudomonadati; Pseudomonadota; Gammaproteobacteria; Enterobacterales; Enterobacteriaceae.